RNAcentral lists this transfer RNA (88 nucleotides) under Felis catus (domestic cat). It matches the Rfam family "tRNA". From Rfam's summary of the family: Transfer RNA (tRNA) molecules are approximately 80 nucleotides in length. Their secondary structure includes four short double-helical elements and three loops (D, anti-codon, and T loops). The record is from Rfam by way of RNAcentral. Lineage: Eukaryota; Metazoa; Chordata; Mammalia; Carnivora; Felidae.
GCCUGGGUGGCUCAGUCGGUUGGGCGUCUGACUUCGGCUCAGGUCAUGAUCUUGCAGUUGGUGGUGGGUUUGAGCCCCGCGUCAGGCU